This 4236-nucleotide long non-coding RNA is filed under the name Xyrichtys novacula (pearly razorfish). The record is from RNAcentral. Lineage: Eukaryota; Metazoa; Chordata; Actinopteri; Labriformes; Labridae.
GCGUAAUUAUAGAGUCGGGCUUCCAUUACCUGUGUUUGAAUUUCAUGCUCUUUAGACUCUUUAUGAGAAACGGAGAGCUGCUUUGAGUCUGUGAGGAAAACACGUUAAUUAUUCGAGGGUGGAUCCUGACACCUUUUCGGCCAGUUAAAAUGUUUCGCUGAGUUUACAGAUUCCACGAGAGGGAAGUCGUAUCCGUCCUCUCGAGUUUUAAUAGCAGGAAUCGCAGGUUUGCUACAUAAUCAAUCUCUCGCCUUGUUACUUUUACUCUCCUGUGCUACACUAAAAACAAAAAUCAGUCUCUUUUAGUGUUUUUGAUAUAAACCUGGUUGUGUGAUGAACUGGAGCAUUACAAUGAUUUAUAUCCCUUGAAUAAAUUAUCACUAUUACCGUGUUUUUUACAGUCGUCUGUAUGUUAUCGCCAUGAAACAGAGGAGUAAAGAAGAGGAGCCAAUGGGGUCGAAUUGUAAAGAGGAAAAAACAGAUGUAAGGCCAACACAGUGGAGUGCGAAGUAAGUAAAAAAUAGUUUAGAAAAAGCUGCAGAAAACAGACGAGGUCAAAGAGGAAAGUCCAAAACACAGGAGGGAAUCGUGGGAAUUUCUUUAACGCAAGAUCUGCAAAGUUUGGAGAGUACAAGCUGUACACUUUAAAGAGUUUUGUUUUUGCAAAAUGCAUUCAUCUUUGACAGAGUCUGCAUCCCAAAAUCCAGAGACUGUGGACAUGCUGAGACUUCUGGUGCUCGCAGUGGUCUGUGAUAUUUUCAUCGGCUACUAACUUUUCAGUUAUUUGCAGGAAAACAAAGAAAUAAGAGAUGAGUUACACCUGAAACCUUCCUGAGGAUAUUCAGUCACCGGAUGACAGACAGAGGUUUCUGAGAUAACAUUAGACUGAUCACUUAUAUCCGUUGCUAAGGGAUGCACCAGCAGCACCGAACCAAAGUUUUGCCAUCACUACACUUUGUAUUCUCACAUUGCGUGUGCUCUCGCAUCGAAUUCAGGUGUUACAGAAGCUCAAAGGGCACGUCUUGUAAACACACACAUACUGUGCAAACACACUGAGAGCUGGAACAACUUUACCUCCAACUCGCAUAACACAUUUACAGACAAGGCGUGACGACUAUCCCGCCUUAACAUGGCAGCAUGUGAAAGCCAAUUAACCUUACAGGCACCAUUUGCACAGGAUUGGUGUUGCAUUGGGAUCUCAUGAAUCAGCGUUUCGCGUGGCGCAUGUGCACAGGACAAGCAAAGUAUCGGUUGAUUCUGUCAUGGUCUGGAGUUAAACAAAAAGAGAAAGGACCUUAAAUGCAGAACAAACAAAAAAAGAUUCAUUAAAAAAGAACAAAAUAAAUCAAAAGGGCAAAAUCCACAAAAAAUCACUGGAGCUAAAUCACAAGGAGAAAAUGGGGACACAGUCAUACGCACACACCGAAAAAAAUACACGAUGAAUUAACAAAAACAGAGGGGAAGACAGAGACUAUAUAGGGAAACGAGCAACAGGUGAGGCAGACGAGACACAGGUGAAACUCAUGGGUGAUUAACGGAGGAGGGAAAAUGAGGGAAGAAAAAUCAGACUAGAAACACAAGGAAUCACUGAAAACUGAUAUAAAGAAUGAAACACUGAAAACAUGAGGGAAACAAGGUCAAACACAAACUGAAAACUCACAAGACAAGACUACAGGGGAACAGAAACAAAAAAAGCACUAAAAUAAACGACACGUGGAGAAAACUGAAUUAACAAAACAUAUCAUGACAGAACAAUACGCACAUACUGAAGCUAAGCCAAGAGACUUCCCGCUAAAGCUUUGAAAGCAAACAAUAGUUGAUCUGGAGUAGUGAUGGGAAGAAGAGUUCUUUUGACUGUACUGAAUCUUUAGAAUCUGUUCAUUAAAACGAUUCGUUCAAAAGAUUCGUUCACUGAAUCAGUCAGUGCUUCGGAGCCGGUGCAGUACACCAGUGAGUGACACAGCGGCGAGUUCGUUCAUUGAACGUCGUUUGGAAGUAGUUUGUUUCGUUCACAGUUUGACUGAUACAUUUUGUUCACUGACUGACUGAUACAUAUCGUUCAUUUGCUGUGAGUGAAUCAUGAGACUCCGCCCACCUGCUCGCUCGCUGACUGGCUGUGCGUUGUUCGCCAAAGAGUCAAAGGCGGCAGUUCCACUCCCGACCAGCACGCCAGGCUCACAGCUGAGCAUAACUGAACUGAGAAAGGAACGAAACAGGUCUCAGAGUUCAUUCUUUUAAACGAAAUGUUCAUGAAUGACACAACACUAAUUUGUAGCAACAAAGACAACCCAAGAACAGACGAGUGUUUCCACCAAAUAUCAAAUCAUAUCACAAACCCUACAUCCCUCCUUUCUGCAUUCAAAGUAGAGUACACCUGACCUUGACUUACACUCCAUGAAACCCCAAAGCGCUUUGUUAGCCCAACUAAAAGGCAGUGGUUUGAUUAUUCAGACGAUGCUGCACGUUAAGUGUCUCAUAAAUGAAGCGAGGCGAAAUCCUAAUUCAGAAAAAUAUCAGUCAAGUGGUUUCAGUCGCAACACUUUGAGGUAUCCUGUCUUUCAAAGAUGAUACUUGGCAGCUCAGUGGGAUUCAAAAGCCUGUGUCCUUGCUGAACAAUGGGAGGGGAAUAUUGAGUUUGGCCCUAUUACAAAUUCACCUUUUUUCCCCUUUUUUUUUUUUUACUGCUAUAGAUAAUGCUCAUUGAUCUGUGAAAUUAUGAGCUACCAUUAGAAAGACCCUGACGCAUAAUUCAGGCCGCCUGAACUCUCAAUCACUCAGCCGAAAACCUGAAGCCCAAACGGUAAUUUACAUCACAAUGCUGCACAUUGAUUCAGAUGGAGAGGUGUGUUAAGAGAUUCUUAACAACUGUAGACACCCUCAGGUCUGCAGAAGGUGUUAUGAUUAAAACUGUCAAAGAAAUUGAAACUCAGUCGACUGAAAAAGGAACUCCUGCUAAUCAAUGCGAGUGUGUGUGUUUAAGAUUAAAAUUUAAUGCUUAUUGUCUGGUGCAGCUGAUCAAAGGAGGAACUCCGCCAUUAAUGAUUUAGGACAGAUGCAUGCUGGGAAUGUGAACCACACUGAGAGGGUAAAAACAGAUUAGACCACAGUGCCCUGAAUUACCCCUGAUAUGCUAAUACAUAAGAAAUGAUCAAUAUUGCAAUAAAAAGGCCUUUAACAGACACUAUACAUGCCCCAAUAGUAUAUUCAGAAGCAUGUAGGACGUCCCCAGUGAGGGUAGGAUGGAGCGGGAGAUCGACAGGCGGAUCAGAGCGGCGUCAGCAGUGAUGUGGACGCUUAACCGAUCUGUCGUGGUGGAGAAAGAGCUGAGCCGCAAGGCGAGACUCUCGAUUUACUGGUUGAUCUACAUGCCGAUCCUCACCUAUGGUCAUGAACUUUGGGUAAUGACCGAAAGAACGAGAUCGUGGUUACGAUAGCCCAAAUGGGUUUCCCUUCGCAAGGUGGCCGGGCUCAGCCUGAGAGAUAGGGUAAGGAGCUCGGACACUCGAGAGGAGUCAGCUGAGGUGGCUCGGGCAUCUGGUUAGGACGCCUUCUGGACACCUCCCGUUAGAGGUGUUCCAGACAUGUCCCACCGGGAGGAGACCUUGUGGCCGGCCCAGGACCAGGUGGAGGGAUUACCUCUCUCACCUGGGAUUAAUUUCACAAGCUCCACCAGCUCCUUCCUGGGAAUCUCCCCGGAGGAGCUGGUGGAAGUGUCUGGGGUGAGGGCCGUCUGGGCCUUCCUCCUGAAGCUGUUGCCCCCGUGUUCCUAAUGUUCCUGAAAAUAAAGAUUUUGGAUAUACGUGUUUUUUUUUGGACAGACACAAUAUAGAAAUGUAUUUAAAGUACAUAUACAGUAAAAUACAACAAAAGUCAUUUGCCAACUAAUCCAUCUAUUUUUACAAUUGUCUGGAAUAGUUUCAGCAAAAAAUACAAUAUUUAACCUCUUGUGUUUGCAAUAGGCCUGAAACGAGAGCCACUCUUACUAAAGCAGCAACUAAAAGUAACACCGCGGCUUUUAACUUCCAAUUCUAUAACGAGUUGGCAGACAGUUUUUGGUAGAGGUGAUGCCAAGGGCAAAGUUACACACUUCAUAAUUUCCACUCUCUAGUUUACCUCGCAGUCAUUUCACAAAAUUUUCCACAGUUUGCUACAGGUGAGCGUAAAGAACUAUGUUUUUAUGAAGCCUUACCGCAACCCAUAGUCAUCAUGACGAGAGCCCACCCUGCCCAUCCCCCA